Acanthosepion pharaonis is the source of this 104-nucleotide non-coding RNA. NCBI's taxonomy places the organism in Eukaryota, Metazoa, Mollusca, Cephalopoda, Sepiida, Sepiidae. The record is from the annotation of a GenBank genome assembly.
AUCAAGUUGAAACACCAGUUCUCAUCUGAUAACCAAAGUUAAGAAAUGCCAAACCUGGUCAGUACUUAGAUGUGUGACUGCUUGAGAAUACCAAGUGCUGUAAG